RNAcentral lists this ribosomal RNA (523 nucleotides) under fungal sp. XKGKDF8. RNAcentral's name for it is "eukaryotic LSU rRNA". The stretch from base 140 to 293 matches the Rfam family "5.8S ribosomal RNA". The record is from RNAcentral. Lineage: Eukaryota; Fungi.
CACCCAUGUGAACAUACCUAUUGUUGCUUCGGCGGGAUUGCCCCGGGCGCCUCGUGUGCCCCGGAUCAGGCGCCCGCCUAGGAAACUCAACUCUUGUUUUAUUUUGGAAUCUUCUGAGUAGUUUUUACAAAUAAAUAAAAACUUUCAACAACGGAUCUCUUGGUUCUGGCAUCGAUGAAGAACGCAGCGAAAUGCGAUAAGUAAUGUGAAUUGCAGAAUUCAGUGAAUCAUCGAAUCUUUGAACGCACAUUGCGCCCGCCAGUAUUCUGGCGGGCAUGCCUGUCUGAGCGUCAUUUCAACCCUCAUGCCCCUAGGGCGUGGUGUUGGGGAUCGGCCAAAGCCCGCGAGGGACGGCCGGCCCCUAAAUCUAGUGGCGGACCCGUCGUGGCCUCCUCUGCGAAGUAGUGAUAUUCCGCAUCGGAGAGCGAUGAGCCCCUGCCGUUAAACCCCCAACUUUCCAAGGUUGACCUCAGAUCAGGUAGGAAUACCCGCUGAACUUAAGCAUAUCAAAAGGCCGGAGGAA